RNAcentral lists this ribosomal RNA (261 nucleotides) under uncultured bacterium. RNAcentral describes it as "partial 16S ribosomal RNA". It matches the Rfam family "Bacterial small subunit ribosomal RNA", at positions 337 to 590 of the family's 1533-position model. The record is from RNAcentral.
CCCUACGGGGGGCAGCAGUAGGGAAUCUUCCACAAUGGGCGAAAGCCUGAUGGAGCAACGCCGCGUGGGUGAAGAAGGUCUUCGGAUCGUAAAACCCUGUUGUUAGAGAAGAAAGUGCGUGAGAGUAACUGUUCACGUUUCGACGGUAUCUAACCAGAAAGCCACGGCUAACUACGUGCCAGCAGCCGCGGUAAUACGUAGGUGGCAAGCGUUAUCCGGAUUUAUUGGGCGUAAAGGGUGCGCAGGCGGUUGAGUAAGACA